CCUACGGGCGGCAGCAGUCGAGAAUCAUUCACAAUGGGGGAAACCCUGAUGGUGCGACGCCGCGUGGGGGAAUGAAGGUCUUCGGAUUGUAAACCCCUGUCAUGUGGGAGCAAAUUAAAAAGAUAGUACCACAAGAGGAAGAGACGGCUAACUCUGUGCCAGCAGCCGCGGUAAUACAGAGGUCUCAAGCGUUGUUCGGAAUCACUGGGCGUAAAGCGUGCGUAGGUGGUUUCGUAAGUCGUGUGUGAAAGGCGCGGGCUCAACCCGCGGACGGCACAUGAUACUGCGAGACUAGAGUAAUGGAGGGGGAACCGGAAUUCGCGGUGUAGCAGUGAAAUGCGGAGAUAUCGAGAGGAACACUCGUGGCGAAGGCGGGUUCCUGGACAUUAACUGACGCUGAGGCACGAAGGCCAGGGGAGCGAAAGGGAUUAGAUACCCGGGUAGUC
Molecule: ribosomal RNA, 446 nt
Filed under: uncultured bacterium
Lineage: Bacteria
Description: partial 16S ribosomal RNA
Rfam family: Bacterial small subunit ribosomal RNA
Source: RNAcentral